UUAUUACUGUUUUAUUGAGUA
This 21-nucleotide non-coding RNA is filed under the name Caenorhabditis elegans. The record is from RNAcentral. Lineage: Eukaryota; Metazoa; Nematoda; Chromadorea; Rhabditida; Rhabditidae.